Molecule: transfer RNA, 72 nt
Filed under: Ictidomys tridecemlineatus (thirteen-lined ground squirrel)
Lineage: Eukaryota; Metazoa; Chordata; Mammalia; Rodentia; Sciuridae
Also listed under: 1 other name
Description: Spermophilus tridecemlineatus (thirteen-lined ground squirrel) tRNA
Rfam family: tRNA
About the family: Transfer RNA (tRNA) molecules are approximately 80 nucleotides in length. Their secondary structure includes four short double-helical elements and three loops (D, anti-codon, and T loops).
Source: Rfam by way of RNAcentral
UGGAGUGUAGUUCAGUGGUAGACCACUUGCCUAGCAUGUGCGAGGCCCUGGGUUUGAUCCCCAGUGCUGCAA